Molecule: ribosomal RNA, 651 nt
Filed under: Picochlorum sp. RCC944
Lineage: Eukaryota; Viridiplantae; Chlorophyta; Trebouxiophyceae
Description: partial Bacterial large subunit ribosomal RNA
Rfam family: Bacterial large subunit ribosomal RNA
Source: RNAcentral
AACUGGAGGACCGAACCCACUAAUGUUGAAAAAUUAGGGGAUGACCUGUGGUUAGGAGUGAAAUGCUAAUCUAACGUCGUGAUAGCUGGUUCUCUGCGAAAUGCAUUGCAGUGCAGCGUCAAUGAAUAAACUUAUGGUAGGUACAGCACUGAUUGACAUGUCUUAACCGACCGACUAGGGGGAUGUGAAAGUCCUAUCUAGGUCAGUUAACCUCGGAAUGAUCAUAAGCAGUAAUUGGCAGUGAGUCGUAGGGUGAUAAGGUCUUAUGACGAGAGGGAAACAGCCCAAACAAUGUGUUAAAGUCCCAAAGAUAUUAGCAAGUGAAAUUAAGGAAGUGUAUUGCCUGAUACAGCCAUGAUGUGGGAUUGGAAGCGUCCAUCAUUUAAAGAAAGCGUAACAGCUCAGUGGUCUAGGCCGUAUGCGCCGAAGAUAUACCGGGUCUUAACUAAUACACUAAUACCAUUGUAUAACAUCAAUCAACCUGAUUGAUAUUAAUAAGUAGCAGAGCGUCCAGUACUGAUGAAGAGCAGUAUUUUAUUGUUUGGAGGUAACUGGAGUGAGGAUGCUGGCAUGAGUAACAAGAAUGAAUGUUAAAUCAUUCACACCGAAAGAGAAAGGUUUCUGAGGGCAAGUUAGACUUCCUCAGGUUAU